AUCUAUAAAUUCUGAAGUUCCAUGUUCUCCUACAGCAAGCUAUAGUUGGAUUUGGAAACUUCGAGUUCCUCAAAGAGUUCAAAUGUUUUGUUGGCAACUUGAUUCCGUGCAAAGAUCUCUUGUUUAGAAAAGGAAUUUUAUCUGCUGAGCAGCGAUCAUGUGAUCUGAUCUGUGUGGGCAGUCGGUAGAGGAUUGCGAGCACGUCAUUAUUUUGUGUCUAUUUGCGAUAACUUGCUGGAGGAGGUUGGUUCAUAUGUUUACUAUGAAUGAUGUUCCUCAUACUUUAGCUGACUUGUUUGAUUUGCUUUCGAAU
This 313-nucleotide long non-coding RNA is filed under the name Elaeis guineensis (African oil palm). RNAcentral's name for it is "long non-coding RNA (EGUI_LNC000507)". Lineage: Eukaryota; Viridiplantae; Streptophyta; Magnoliopsida; Arecales; Arecaceae. The record is from RNAcentral.